CGGGACCUAUACAUGCAAGUCGAGCGGACCGACGGGAGCUUGCUCCCUUAGGUCAGCGGCGGACGGGUGAGUAACACGUGGGUAACCUGCCUGUAAGACUGGGAUAACUCCGGGAAACCGGGGCUAAUACCGGAUGCUUGAUUGAACCGCAUGGUUCAAUCAUAAAAGGUGGCUUUUAGCUACCACUURCAGAUGGACCCGCGGCGCAUUAGCUAGUUGGUGAGGUAACGGCUCACCAAGGCGACGAUGCGUAGCCGACCUGAGAGGGUGAUCGGCCACACUGGGACUGAGACACGGCCCAGACUCCUACGGGAGGCAGCAGUAGGGAAUCUUCCGCAAUGGACGAAAGUCUGACGGAGCAACGCCGCGUGAGUGAUGAAGGUUUUCGGAUCGUAAAACUCUGUUGUUAGGGAAGAACAAGUACCGUUCGAAUAGGGCGGCACCUUGACGGUACCUAACCAGAAAGCCACGGCUAACUACGUGCCAGCAGCCGCGGUAAUACGUAGGUGGCAAGCGUUGUCCGGAAUUAUUGGGCGUAAAGCGCGCGCAGGCGGUUUCUUAAGUCUGAUGUGAAAGCCCCCGGCUCAACCGGGGAGGGUCAUUGGAAACUGGGGAACUUGAGUGCAGAAGAGGAGAGUGGAAUUCCACGUGUAGCGGUGAAAUGCGUAGAGAUGUGGAGGAACACCAGUGGCGAAGGCGACUCUCUGGUCUGUAACUGACGCUGAGGCGCGAAAGCGUGGGGAGCGAACAGGAUUAGAUACCCUGGUAGUCCACGCCGUAAACGAUGAGUGCUAAGUGUUAGAGGGUUUCCGCCCUUUAGUGCUGCAGCAAACGCAUUAAGCACUCCGCCUGGGGAGUACGGUCGCAAGACUGAAACUCAAAGGAAUUGACGGGGGCCCGCACAAGCGGUGGAGCAUGUGGUUUAAUUCGAAGCAACGCGAGAACCUUACCAGGUCUUGACAUCCUCUGACACCCUAGAGAUAGGGCUUCCCUUCGGGGCAGAGUGACAGUGGUGCAUGUGUCGUCAGCUCGUGUCGUGAGAUGUGGGUAGUCCGCACGAGCGCACCAUGAUCUAGUUGCAGCAUUCAGUUGGGCACUCUAGACUGCAGA
RNAcentral lists this ribosomal RNA (1110 nucleotides) under Bacillus licheniformis. RNAcentral's name for it is "bacterial SSU rRNA". It matches the Rfam family "Bacterial small subunit ribosomal RNA", at positions 43 to 1155 of the family's 1533-position model. Lineage: Bacteria; Bacillati; Bacillota; Bacilli; Caryophanales; Bacillaceae. The record is from RNAcentral.